ACGCUGUCGGGGAAUACUUUGUUCCUCUCCUUUUCCGCUGAUUGCUGUGGUGCUCCGAGACCUGUGUCCAGGCACCUGCAAGUGAGCCACCAGCCCUGGAUCCCACGCCUCUGGAGCCAGUGUGCCGUUUGGCUUCCCGCCUUUGGGCAGGGGAGACCUGGCACGGGCUUCCCACUUUGCUUCCCUGGCUCUGCGAGCACCCUGGUGCCUUUGGCAUGGCGAGACGUCCAGAAGGGAAGGAAGUUGUCGGCUGGUUCUGCCGUGGCUGCUGCCUUUCCGAGGGCCGAUAAAGCCUCCGUGAAGCCACGCUACUCCAGGCCUGUCCUAUGGUAUCCUAGGUAUUUGGCUGCGCUUUGUGUGAGAUCCCUCCUACAGCCUCUUCUGAGGAAAAAGGCUAUUUUUGGCUUCCAGCAAGGAAGCCACCCUCAGCCCAUCAGAGUUUUGGAGACAACCCAUUUUCUUCUCAGCUCCCUGCAGCAUCCCCAGCUGCAUCCAGAGGGGCCAGGGAUCUGCUGCCUUUCCUUCUCGUGCCUGACUGCUCCCUCGGGCCAUGUCCUACCAUUAGUGCCAGGGGGCAGGCCGGGGAGGUAUCCCAUUUUGGGGCAACCCCUCGAGUCGAGCAAAGCCAGGCAGCGCUGCCCGCCUGCCCCUGCUCUGCGCUGCACCCGAGGCAAUGGACGGGCCGUGGCAGCCCCCCGGCGCGGGUCCAGGCUAUUUCAGGCAGCCCGAGCUUGCAGCGCCAGGAGCGAGACAGCUCCAGCGAGCCCCCGGCCGCCCUCCUCGGGUAACGCGAGAGGCUGCAACUCGCCCGGUGAAGGGCAGAGCCGGGGGACCCGUUGCUGCCCGGGUGAGGAGCUCGUCCCCCCAGCACAGCAGCGAGGGACGCCUCCGGCCCGGCGGCUGUGCCGCGGGGAGGGGUGGCGGGAGCUGGCGGCAGCGCGGAGGUGCGCUCCCAGCUUCCCUCCGGCUCCCACCCGCUCCGGCUCUGGGAUUGCUCAGGGCUCUGCCAGACCCCAAUAA
Molecule: long non-coding RNA, 1020 nt
Filed under: Apteryx haastii (Great spotted kiwi)
Lineage: Eukaryota; Metazoa; Chordata; Aves; Apterygiformes; Apterygidae
Description: lncRNA (ENSAHAG00000013602.1)
Source: RNAcentral